GAUGAAGAACGCAGUGAAAUGCGAUAAGUAGUGUGAAUUGCAGAAUUCAGUGAAUCAUCGAAUCUUUGAACGCACAUUGCGCCCCUUGGUACUCCAUGGGGCAUGCCUGUUCGAGCGUCAUUUACACCCUCAAGCUCAGCUUGGUGUUGGGCGUCUGUCCCGCUUCGUGCGCGGACUCGCCUCAAAUGCAUUGGCAGCGGUCUUACCAGCUUCUCGCGCAGCACAUUGCGCUUCUAGAGGCUUUGGCGGAUCGGCGUCCAUCAAGUACACCCACAGUUUGACCUCGGAUCAGGUAGGGAUACCCGCUGAACUUAAGCAUAUCAAUAAGCGGAGGA
RNAcentral lists this unclassified non-coding RNA (335 nucleotides) under soil metagenome. RNAcentral's name for it is "partial contains 5.8S ribosomal RNA, internal transcribed spacer 2, and large subunit ribosomal RNA". The stretch from base 1 to 120 matches the Rfam family "5.8S ribosomal RNA", at positions 35 to 154 of the family's 154-position model. The record is from RNAcentral.